UUCCGGUUGAUCCCGCCGGACCCGACUGCUAUCAGAGUGGGACUAAGCCAUGCGAGUCGACGUAGCAAUGCGUGGCGAACGGCUCAGUAACACGUAGUCAACAUGCCCAGGGGACGUGGAUAACCUCGGGAAACUGAGAAUAAACCACGAUAGGUCACGAUUUCUGGAAUGGAUCAUGGCAUAAAUCUACAUGGCCCCUGGAUUGGACUGCGGCCGAUCAGGCAGUUGGUGAGGUAAUGGCCCACCAAACCUAUAACCGGUACGGGCUCUGAGAGGAGAAGCCCGGAGAUGGGCACUGAGACAAGGGCCCAGGCCCUAUGGGGCGCAGCAGGCGCGAAACCUCUGCAAUAGGCGAAAGCCUGACAGGGUUACUCUGAGUGAUUUCCGCUAAGGGGAUCUUUUGGCACCUCUAAAAAUGGUGCAGAAUAAGGGGUGGGCAAGUCUGGUGUCAGCCGCCGCGGUAAUACCAGCACCCCGAGUGGUCGGGACGAUUAUUGGGCCUAAAGCAUCCGUAGCCGGUUCUGCAAGUCUUCCGUUAAAUCCAGCCGCUCAACGGAUGGGCCGCGGAGGAUACUAUAGGACUAGGAGGCGGGAGAGGCAAGCGGUACUCAGUGGGUAGGGGUAAAAUCCUUUGAUCCAUUGAAGACCACCAGUGGCGAAGGCGGCUUGCCAGAACGCGCUCGACGGUGAGGGAUGAAAGCUGGGGGAGCAACCGGAUUAGAUACCCGGGUAGUCCCAG
This 739-nucleotide ribosomal RNA is filed under the name uncultured archaeon. Its description in RNAcentral is "bacterial SSU rRNA". It matches the Rfam family "Archaeal small subunit ribosomal RNA", at positions 1 to 750 of the family's 1478-position model. The record is from RNAcentral.